GAUGAACGCUAGCGGGAGGCCUAACACAUGCAAGCCGAGCGGGAUUUGUUGGUUAGCUUGCUAACUAACAAUGAGAGCGGCGUACGGGUGCGUAGCACGUGUGCAACCUGCCUUUAUCUGGGGGAUAGCCUUUCGAAAGGAAGAUUAAUACCCCAUAACAUAUUGAUUGGCAUCAGUUAAUAUUGAAAGCUCCGGCGGAUAGAGAUGGGCACGCGUAAGAUUAGCUAGUUGGUGAGGUAACGGCUCACCAAGGCUGCGAUCUUUAGGGGGCCUGAGAGGGUGAUCCCCCACACUGGUACUGAGACACGGACCAGACUCCUACGGGAGGCAGCAGUGAGGAAUAUUGGACAAUGGGUGAGAGCCUGAUCCAGCCAUCCAGCGUGAAGGACUAAGGACCUAUGGUUUGUAAACUUCUUUUAUACAGGGAUAAACCUACUCUCGUGAGGGUAGCUGAAGGUACUGUAUGAAUAAGCACCGGCUAACUCCGU
RNAcentral lists this ribosomal RNA (488 nucleotides) under uncultured bacterium. RNAcentral describes it as "partial 16S ribosomal RNA". It matches the Rfam family "Bacterial small subunit ribosomal RNA", at positions 28 to 506 of the family's 1533-position model. The record is from RNAcentral.